RNAcentral lists this ribosomal RNA (484 nucleotides) under uncultured bacterium. RNAcentral describes it as "partial 16S ribosomal RNA". It matches the Rfam family "Bacterial small subunit ribosomal RNA", at positions 28 to 507 of the family's 1533-position model. The record is from RNAcentral.
GAUGAACGCUCGCGACAGGCUUAACACAUGCAAGUCGAGGGGCAGCACAGGUAGCAAUACCGGGUGGCGACCGGCGCACGGGUGAGUAACGCGUAUGCAACUUACCUAUCAGAGGGGGAUAACCCGGCGAAAGUCGGACUAAUACCGCAUGAAGCAGGGGUCCCGCAUGGGGAUAUUUGCUAAAGAUUCAUCGCUGAUAGAUAGGCAUGCGUUCCAUUAGGCAGUUGGCGGGGUAACGGCCCACCAAACCGACGAUUGAUAGGGGUUCUGAGAGGAAGGUCCCCCACAUUGGUACUGAGACACGGACCAAACUCCUACGGGAGGCAGCAGUGAGGAAUAUUGGUCAAUGGCCGAGAGGCUGAACCAGCCAAGUCGCGUGAGGGAUGAAGGUUCUAUGGAUCGUAAACCUCUUUUAUAAGGGAAUAAAGUGCGGGACGUGUCCCGUUUUGUAUGUACCUUAUGAAUAAGGAUCGGCUACUCCGUG